GCCUGAAAGAAAGCAUGUGUGCCAUGUAAAGCCAUGCCUGAGUUUCAGCCUUUCAGGUGAUAGAAGGGCCAUCCACUUCAACUCUCGCCCUCCCUUUUAGGCAUUUUUUUACAGAGGCGUGGAAUUGGCAAAAGAAAAAACUACAAUUUG
RNAcentral lists this small RNA (150 nucleotides) under Oryza sativa Japonica Group (Japanese rice). RNAcentral describes it as "sRNA Os12g0423944". Lineage: Eukaryota; Viridiplantae; Streptophyta; Magnoliopsida; Poales; Poaceae. The record is from RNAcentral.